UACGGAGGGUGCAAGCGUUAAUCGGAAUUACUGGGCGUAAAGCGCACGCAGGUGGCUGAGUCAGUCGAUUGUGAAAGCCCCGGGCUCAACCUGGGAACUGCAUUCAAAACUGACAAGCUAGAGUAUGGUAGAGGGUGGUGGAAUUUCCUGUGUAGCGGUGAAAUGCGUAGAUAUAGGAAGGAACACCAGUGGCGAAGGCGACCACCUGGACUGAUACUGACACUGAGGUGCGAAAGCGUGGGGAGCAAACAGG
This 253-nucleotide ribosomal RNA is filed under the name uncultured bacterium. Its description in RNAcentral is "partial 16S ribosomal RNA". It matches the Rfam family "Bacterial small subunit ribosomal RNA", at positions 524 to 776 of the family's 1533-position model. The record is from RNAcentral.